GGGGAAUAUUGCACAAUGGGCGCAAGCCUGAUGCAGCAACGCCGCGUGAGGGACGAAUGCCUUCGGGUUGUAAACCUCUUUUAGUAGGGAAGAAGCGAAAGUGACGGUACCUGCAGAAAAAGCACCGGCUAACUACGUGCCAGCAGCCGCGGUAAUACGUAGGGUGCAAGCGUUGUCCGGAAUUAUUGGGCGUAAAGAGCUCGUAGGCGGUUUGUCGCGUCUGCUGUGAAAACUGGAGGCUCAACCUCCAGCCUGCAGUGGGUACGGGCAGACUAGAGUGCGGUAGGGGAGAUUGGAAUUCCUGGUGUAGCGGUGGAAUGCGCAGAUAUCAGGAGGAACACCGAUGGCGAAGGCAGAUCUCUGGGCCGUAACUGACGCUGAGGAGCGAAAGCAUGGGGAGCGAAC
RNAcentral lists this ribosomal RNA (405 nucleotides) under uncultured bacterium. RNAcentral describes it as "bacterial SSU rRNA". It matches the Rfam family "Bacterial small subunit ribosomal RNA", at positions 356 to 773 of the family's 1533-position model. The record is from RNAcentral.